Molecule: ribosomal RNA, 458 nt
Filed under: uncultured bacterium
Lineage: Bacteria
Description: partial 16S ribosomal RNA
Rfam family: Bacterial small subunit ribosomal RNA
Source: RNAcentral
GAUAAACGCUGGCGGCGUGCAUGAGACAUGCAAGUCGAACGAAGGAUCGGGCUUGCUCGAUCCUUAGUGGCGGACGGCUGAGUAACGCGUAGGUGACCUACCCCGAAGUGGGGAAUAACUGCCCGAAAGGGUGGCUAAUACCGCAUGUGGUCGCACGUUCAUUCGUGCGAGUAAAGCCGCAAGGCGCUUCGGGGGGGGCCUGCGUCCGAUUAGCUCGUUGGUGGGGUAAUGGCUUACCAAGGCGACGAUCGGUAGGUGGUCUGAGAGGACGAUCACCCAGACUGGGACUGAGACACGGCCCAGACUCCUACGGGAGGCAGCAGUCGGGAAUGUUGCUCAAUGGGGGAAACCCUGAAGCAGCAACGCCGCGUGAGGGAUGAAGGCCUUCGGGUUGUAAACCUCUUUUGUCAGGGACGAUGAUGACGGUACCUGGCGAAUAAGCCACGGCUAACUACGUG